CGAGGGGUAUUAGUUUUCGGACUAAGAGACCGGCGCACGGGUGCGUAACGCGUAUGCAAUCUACCUUUUACAGAGGGAUAGCCCAGAGAAAUUUGGAUUAAUACCUCAUAGUAUAGCAGUUUCGCAUGAAACCACUAUUAAAGUCACAACGGUAAAAGAUGAGCAUGCGUCCCAUUAGCUAGUUGGUAAGGUAACGGCUUACCAAGGCUACGAUGGGUAGGGGUCCUGAGAGGGAGAUCCCCCACACUGGUACUGAGACACGGACCAGACUCCUACGGGAGGCAGCAGUGAGGAAUAUUGGACAAUGGGCGCAAGCCUGAUCCAGCCAUGCCGCGUGUAGGAUGACGGUCCUAUGGAUUGUAAACUGCUUUUGUACGAGAAGAAACACUCCUAUGUAUAGGAGCUUGACGGUAUCGUAAGAAUAAGGAUCGGCUAACUCCGUGCCAGCAGCCGCGGUAAUACGGAGGAUCCAAGCGUUAUCCGGAAUCAUUGGGUUUAAAGGGUCCGUAGGCGGUUUAGUAAGUCAGUGGUGAAAGCCCAUCGCUCAACGGUGGAACGGCCAUUGAUACUGCUGAACUUGAAUUAUUAGGAGGUAACUAGAAUAUGUAGUGUAGCGGUGAAAUGCUUAGAGAUUACAUGGAAUACCAAUUGCGAAGGCAGGUUACUACUAAUUGAUUGACGCU
This 683-nucleotide ribosomal RNA is filed under the name uncultured Flavobacteriales bacterium. Its description in RNAcentral is "bacterial SSU rRNA". It matches the Rfam family "Bacterial small subunit ribosomal RNA", at positions 63 to 747 of the family's 1533-position model. The record is from RNAcentral. Lineage: Bacteria; Pseudomonadati; Bacteroidota; Flavobacteriia; Flavobacteriales.